This 1017-nucleotide long non-coding RNA is filed under the name Equus caballus (horse). Its description in RNAcentral is "lncRNA (ENSECAG00000049874.1)". The record is from RNAcentral. Lineage: Eukaryota; Metazoa; Chordata; Mammalia; Perissodactyla; Equidae.
GUCCUCCCCUGGCCUGUUAGCCCAGGGUCUGCCAUACUCAGUAGAGCACUGAUUUAAUCCAGCUCAGACAGGGAAGGCAGCCCACCCUAGGGACUGGCCCCACCCAAGAGCAAGCCCUCAGGUAACUUGUGGACCUGCAUAGGUGUGGUGCCUAGAACCUCUGCAGCCAGAAUUCUGAUCUAUGGAGAUGAGUAGGAGCAUUCAGAAGAGGUUCAAGCAAUGUUACGUUAUUUCUUGGGACGAAUUUGGAGAAAUUGCUCAAAGUUCUUGCUCAAGAAACAUUUCCAAGCCAGUUUGACAUGCUGCGGAUAGAAGAUUGAGCACAUGGACCGGGUCCUAUGAGACUGGGACUGUGUAAACUUGGGACUGUAAUUUUUCAGGGCUUCAUAAUUAACACCGCAGUUGCUUUGUUGAAGAGCUAUUAGUGUGCUGAACCACAAGUCACUCACUGACAACAGUAAUCAGAGCGGAAUCAAGAAACACGAUGCCAGAUUGGGUCUCAGUCACACUGGUGCCUUAUUUCCCAAGCAUUGGACAAAGAAGAGAUAUUACUUCAAAGUGGAUAAAGAGAAAGGUAACAAUCAAUGAUUUCUGACAAUUUAGCAAAGAUUUAUUGAGUACCUACUGUGUGCCAGGCGUGUGCUAGGUUUGCAGAAAUAGAAAAACCAUGUGAGAUGUCUUGAUGCAAUUUCUUCAAAUAUUGAAGUCUCAAAUUUAGGAGACAAUAUAAAAGGAAGAAAAGGUGGAAUAUAUUGUGCUGAUUAGGUAACAAAUUGAAAAACCAUGGGGCAUUUCUGCUUUGGAGAAUGAAGCUGUAGCCGUGGGAAAUAAAACCCUAUGUAAAUCACUGAUGAAAUUAAUACAUUUUAAAGGUUAUCAGAGCAAAACUGCUGAAUUCUGUAGUUUGUCAUCAGUAAACUAAAUGCGAAAUCACUAAUUUAAUGUGUAUGAAUUACCAGUUGACUUCUAAUGUAUGGAAUAAUAAGAACUAAUGCUGCUUUAGGAGCUGGAAAUGAG